Panicum virgatum (switchgrass) is the source of this 1522-nucleotide long non-coding RNA. RefSeq lists it as uncharacterized. NCBI's taxonomy places the organism in Eukaryota, Viridiplantae, Streptophyta, Magnoliopsida, Poales, Poaceae. The transcript is spliced from 4 exons. The record is from RefSeq and is a predicted model, not a curated record.
CUGCCUCAUCGCAUCCUUUCCCCUACAGUCCCCACUACCUAUCUGCCAUUGCCUUCCUAGCUCCUCUCCUCUCUUCCCCAUCUUGCCUCACACCAUUAAACUCGACCCGGGUGCGGUGGCCGGCGGCGAGCCCCACCCACCCACGCCCGCGGAGGAGCGAGCGGGCAUGCAGCAGCACUAGGGGCAGGCAUGGGACCCUCGGUCGCACGAUCUUCACGGUCGGCAAGUGGAUCCGCAGCACAGGGCAGGCCAUGGAUCACCUCGGAUCUGCAUCCAGGGCGGCCUUCACGUCGAGGAGCAGCAUAAGUAUCCGCCUCCUUGCUCCAGCCUGGGAUGGGAUCGGGUCUUCAUCUAAUUAUUUAAUUUCAAUGUCGUGCGGAGCUAGCUGUAUUCAGCUCAUCGUGUUCAUCUAUUAGGAACUGUUAAUGUCAUGUCCAGUGGUGUCCGCAAUCAUCAGUAUGCUCGCUGUUGGGGUUGUUCCCAAGAGGGGGAAGAAUAAAACCAAAAUAGUGUUCCUAAAGAUUGGGUUAGCUGUGGAUGAUGGUAAUGUGAUUUGAACAAACCUGAGAUGAGCUUGGCCUUUAGACUGGACUACUAAUUUCCCUCUUUAUGUGUACCGUUUGUUUCCAUUGUCGUCACUUAUGUGAACUUUGCAUUGCAGUUUGUAUUUUUUUCCAUGAAAGUAAUGGUAAUUUGGUAAAUCAUGUAUGACAAGGAUUGGUUGCCACAAUCCUACUGUCUUCUGUUAAUAUGUCGUGCUGGCAUUUUCUGUUUGAAGUGAUUCUGUAUAUAGUUUCUCUUCCAUAGCAUCAUAAUAAUGUCAUUUCUUCAUGGUGUCACUAUGCUGCAACUGGGAAAUCACCAGGCUUCUGCGUGAUUUAUACACAAUGAUGAGGAAUAUGGGUUUCUGUUUUUUAGGGCUGUGCAGUUUCUUAGCUUAUUACUCUCAAAGGCUUGCUAACUACUUGCUGAUUUGGAUAAUUGGUUCCUUACUUUUGGUCUUCUCAUGUGCAACACUAAUAAAGAUGUUAUCUUUAUAUACAUGGGGAUCCCUAUUGGUGAGUUUGCCCUUUACACUGCCUUGGGAGGAGUUCAUCCAUCAGCUAGUAUAGGACUGUCUCUGGUGUGGCAGGGCCCUGGUUAUUUUGGACAAAGUAAAGGUCUUGAAAACUCCUAUCUCACUUGAUAUGCUUGGACCCAUCAUUAAUGGUUCUGGGAAACCUAUCGAUAGUGGUCCUCCAAUAUUGCAUGGGGCUUACUUUUAUAUUUCUGGAAGUUCAAUCAACCCCAGCGAGAGAACCUAUCCAGAAGAGAUGAUUCAAACAGGAAUAUCCACCACUGAUGUGAUGAACUCAAUUGCGCGAGGGCAAAAAAAUCCUCUUUUCUCUGCUGAUGGGCUUCCACACAAUGAGAUUGCUGCUCAGAUAUGUCGUCAAGCUGGUCUUGUUAAUUAGUUUUAUUUUUUGGAAGAUGUGUCACUUCUAAAAAUGUUCUAAGUUAUUGUUCCAUUGCUUUUGAAAUA